ACAUGCAAGUCGAGCGGCAAGUCGAGUAGUAAUACUUGACCUAGAGCGGCGCACGGGUGCGUAACGCGUAUGCAACCUACCUUUUACUGGGGGAUAGCCCGGAGAAAUCUGGAUUAAUACCCCAUGGUACCUAAAUGUCGAAUGACAUUUAGUUUAAAGAUUUAUCGGUAAGAGAUGGGCAUGCGUCUGAUUAGCUAGUUGGCGGGGUAACGGCCCACCAAGGUGACGAUCAGUAGGGGUUCUGAGAGGAAGGUCCCCCACACUGGCACUGAGAUACGGGCCAGACUCCUACGGGAGGCAGCAGUAGGGAAUAUUGGGCAAUGGUCGCAAGACUGACCCAGCCAUGCCGCGUGCAGGAAGACGGCCCUCUGGGUUGUAAACUGCUUUUAUCUGGGAAGAAAAAGUCCAUGCGUGGAAAAUUGCCGGUACCAGAUGAAUAAGCACCGGCUAACUCCGUGCCAGCAGCCGCGGUAAUACGGAGGGUGCAAGCGUUGUCCGGAUUUAUUGGGUUUAAAGGGUGCGUAGGCGGCUGAAUAAGUCAGCGGUGAAAGACUUCGGCUUAACCGGAGCAGUGCCGUUGAUACUGUUUAGCUUGAGUGUUGGAGGGGUACAUGGAAUUGAUGGUGUAGCGGUGAAAUGCAUAGAUACCAUCAGGAACACCGAUAGCGAAGGCAUUGUACUGGCCAACAACUGACGCUGAGGCACGAAAGUGUGGGGAUCGAACAGGAUUAGAUACCCUGGUAGUCCACACUGUAAACGAUGAUUACUCGCUGUUAUGGUGUAUACUGUAGCGGCCAAGCGAAAGCGU
Molecule: ribosomal RNA, 808 nt
Filed under: uncultured Bacteroidota bacterium
Lineage: Bacteria; Pseudomonadati; Bacteroidota
Description: bacterial SSU rRNA
Rfam family: Bacterial small subunit ribosomal RNA
Source: RNAcentral